GUGACAUAAGUGUUAUUCUUAAACGUUUUAAACUUUUAUAAGAUCAAAGGUGUUACUUAAAAAAUAAAUAUGUCAGAACUCAAUACAUCGAACACACAAGCACGUAAAUAUAAGAUUCCUGGUCUAAAAGAAUUUCGAAAACAGAAAAAAGAUUCGUCCAAAGAGCUUCACCAAAUUCUGGAUGAAACGGAAUUGCUUCAAAUAUACGAGAUAUUCAACCACGAGGAUGGAAGAAGGAUGAACCAAGAACAACUAAAAGAAGUUUUAGCGAAUGUAGCGAAAGUUGAAUAUGCCGAUGAGGUUUUUGAAAGAGAAUAUUUAAGAAUGAAUUCAUCUUGCGACGGUCUUGUAACCUGGAACGAAUUUAUAUCAUAUCUUAUUUUGGGUUUUGAACAGCAAGAGGUUAGUACAGAAUACAAAACCCUAGCCGCUCCCAUACCUACAGGCCCUACUUUAGUAAAAAGCAAUCAUAGACAUACAAUAAAUAGAAUCACUUUUUAUCCUACAGUGAAGCCCGACCGUAGCAGUACAUGGCAUGACGGAAGCAUCAUUACGUGCAGCCAUGACGGUAUCAUUAAUUAUUGGACACUGGAUAUGACACUAGAAAGAACGGUUCAAUCAACUUGCCCAAAUCUAAAAAUUCAGACUACUUGGGUCACGGAUUUGGCUGUGCUACCAGAUGUCAGCGUCAUUUGUACCUCAUCUAGUGAAAGAGAUUUAAGAUUUUAUGAUACAUCAGCUAGAAAAUUCGAAUUGAGAGUAAUAAUCACGUCUUUCGACCAUGCCGUUACUACCAUGUACUACAAAUUCUACGAGGAUGCGGAUAUGGAGUCGAAACUGAUUUUGGGCGAUAUGGGCGGAGGCGUCAAGAUAUUAUUUAUAAAAACUUUCGCCAGAGGUCCCUUUAAAUCGCAACCCGGCAUUCCCUUGCUUCACAUCAGAUGGGAGAAGGUCUUUAAAGGACAUGUUAACAAUUUUAGAGCGUUGGCAUUUCCUCACUUACAUACAGACUAUGUAAGACAAGUUAAUUUCUACCCUACAUUGAACGCUGUGGUAUCCUGUGCACAAUGUCCAAAGGCCGGGUUGCUUAUGACAAGUAUAUCCGAUAAUAACUCCUCAUACACGUACAAAAUCUUGAGUGGAGUAUGGUGUUUUGCAUUGGAAGAAACUAGUCACAUCGUUGGAACAGGAAGUCCCGAUUGCCUGGUGCGCCUAUGGAAUCCCUUCGUCCCUCGUAGACCUACCUGUACAUUUUACGGCCACCACACCGGAAUUGUCCAAAUGGUGAUCCAGGAUCACGGCAAAAAGCUCUACACUUUAUCCAAAGAUAAGUGCAUCAAAAUUUGGGAUAUAUCCCUUCAAUCAUGUCUCCAGACAUAUUUGGAUUUGCCUCCGGAAAGAGCAGAGUUAACUACUCUGUAUAAUCCGGAAUCCAGACAGUGGAUAAUUGGGAGUACCAUGAUAGCGGUGAUUCCCCUUAGUCCGAAACAAAGUAGCGAGCAUACAGAUGGCAGCACGCAUUCCAGUGGCGUGUCGGUGGUUUUGUAUAAUAAAUUAUUUAAGAUAAUUAUAACUUGUGGGUUGGAUAGUUAUAUUAUCGUGUGGAAUCCAUGGGACGGUCGACGUCUGAUGGUUAUCAAAGAAGGCCAUACUAGGAUGUUGCAUGGCGAGAUAAUGAGCGUCGAAAUUACCGCAGCCACAUUUGAUCCAGGAUAUCAAAGAUUAUUAACUGGGGCUCACGAUGGAACCCUUAAAAUAUGGAAUUUCAAUACUGGAACAUGCCUUAGAAAUAUGAACAUAGAAACUUGGUGCGAGGUUCAAUGUGUGAUAUGGGUGAAAAAUAGAAUAUUAGCCAUGGGAUGGAAUAAAAGAGUGACAGAAUUUGCCGACACAGGAGCGGCCGUGGGCCCUGAAGGAGCUUACAGUAAGAAUUGGGACAUGCGACAUUCGGAAGAUAUUAGCGCUGGAGCCGUCAAAGUGCCUGAAUCAUUAGCUACAAGCUCUUAUGUUGGAGAACUACUUCUAUGGCGUUUGGAAACUGGCCAACCGUAUAAGAAAUUUAUCGUGUCCAAUCCGACCGAGCGUAUUAAGAUCCAUUUUACAGUUGAUAAAGUAAGAGACAAGGCGGAUGUGGCAAAGACUUCUAGACAAUCGAUUAUUGACGCCAAAGGAGCACAAGCGGCUGCAAGGGGUAGUAAGGUACAGAGAACGCCAUUGCUACCUCAACAAGAAAACACUCUAUCUGGUGCCAGGGUUAUGAGUCGAAAAGGUCGACUAUCCACCGUGUCCCUGCCCGAGGAAUGCUUUAGCUUGCGCAAGCUGGCCGUGCACUGUAUGCUGUUCCUGAGCGCGAGAAAAAGCGACCCGCAGGUGGGCACGUUGCUGGUGGCCCUGGAGAACGGGGUUAUCCAGGUGUGGAACCAUCACGUGGCCGGUGGGUUCAUCACUUCUUUCUGGGCGGUGCACAAGGCCGGCGACUACAUCAUUUCGAUGACCAGCGACGACAAUAACGAGUUUCUCUUUCUAGGAACGACAGCUGGCUAUAUAAAAACGUGGCUCCUAAAAAAUUACUGCGUGUUACCAGAAGACAUGGAGCAUAUUUGUAUGCCGAAGUACAGACUUAUGUUUCCUUUCAUGUGGGGAGAUAGAUUUGUCGAGCUCGAAGAAUGAUAGCAAAUCAACCAUUUCCAAUACUGCUCAGUAGCUAUAAAGGUCAUUUUAUGCCCGUCUCUGGUUUGACAUAUAUUGAAGACUGCCAAAUCCUGAUAAGUUGUAGUGCAGAUUUUAGUGCUAGAAUGUGGACAUUAGGUGGCAGAUAUCUCCAAACGAUCGGAACUUUCAAGAAAUGGAAGCUAAUUAAUCCUGAAACUAAAAUUCCCGAUGACUUUGAGUAUUCUAUUCCACCA
RNAcentral lists this unclassified non-coding RNA (2906 nucleotides) under Sitophilus oryzae (rice weevil). RNAcentral's name for it is "wD repeat-containing protein on Y chromosome, transcript variant X3". The record is from RNAcentral. Lineage: Eukaryota; Metazoa; Arthropoda; Insecta; Coleoptera; Curculionidae.